This 297-nucleotide ribosomal RNA is filed under the name bacterium enrichment culture clone ALO1_GLFRUDD03GXQVS. Its description in RNAcentral is "partial 16S ribosomal RNA". It matches the Rfam family "Bacterial small subunit ribosomal RNA", at positions 9 to 306 of the family's 1533-position model. The record is from RNAcentral.
GAGUUUGAUCGUGGCUCAGAUUGAACGCUGGCGGCAUGCCUUACACAUGCAAGUCGAACGGCAGCACGGGAGCUUGCUCCUGGUGGCGAGUGGCGAACGGGUGAGUAAUGCAUCGGAACGUAUCCUGGAGUGGGGGAUAACGUAGCGAAAGUUACGCUAAUACCGCAUAUUCUGUGAGCAGGAAAGCGGGGGACCUUCGGGCCUCGCGCUCUUGGAGCGGCCGAUGUCGGAUUAGCUAGUUGGUGAGGUAAAGGCUCACCAAGGCGACGAUCCGUAGCAGGUCUGAGAGGAUGACCU